This is a long non-coding RNA of Gambusia affinis (western mosquitofish), 2356 nucleotides long. RefSeq lists it as uncharacterized. The transcript has 8 exons. Lineage: Eukaryota; Metazoa; Chordata; Actinopteri; Cyprinodontiformes; Poeciliidae. The record is from RefSeq and is a predicted model, not a curated record.
UGCAGCCAACAGAAAGGGGCGGGGACGGACCUUUCCGUCAGUCCCAUACCUUAUUUGGAAAUGGGACUAUUGCAUUCCGGAAACGAAGGGGGCGCUGUUUUCAUAAUCACUAGUAUAAAUACCUUAAAGACGCGGGGUUAAGAGGAAAGGAAGAAGAAAGAAAGAAUUUUAAGAGGUUCUUCCACUGGAGUUCGGCACACGAUCAACAAUGCAAAACCCACAAAGUCAAGAAAAGAUCCACCUAUCCAUUUGCAAAAUUCGGAACGGAGAGGAGAUUCUCCCGUAUUGCUACGAUAAAUAUUGCUGUCGAGGCUACAGAACCAUAAAGCACAAACUGCUAUGGUUCAACAUAACGAGAAGUCUGUCUUCAGAUGUCAUCUGGACCUGGACAGAAUCUGUUCUGUAAUGAUGUUAAGGGAUUGUCUGAACAAGGACUGUCCAGCAACUGUUUUAAUGUUUGUAGUCAUGUGUACACUGUACUUUGUGAUGGGAGCAUCAUGUGAUUUCAGUGAGGAUGAUAUGAUGACAAUACGAAGAUGGUCUCUCUCUCUCUCUUAAGAAACUUCCCUGUGAGGUCCAGAGAAGAACAACAAAAGGAGAGAAAGCAGAAAAAAAGUUGAUGAAGGCAAAAUGUGAGGUAAAAUUCAUCACUUUGUAGUUUUAAAUCAUGUAAUUUGUAUUAUGUCCAUUCACAGUGUACUUUUGUUCUAUGCUUAUUUUUUUAAGUCCGAAAGAAAAUCAAGAUAGAAAAAUUAAAAGGGUUGAAGCAGUUUUGAUGUUAUUUGGACUUGCAUUCUUCUUUCACUUAGAACAAAUCUGUAUUUUUACAGACUGUGUGCUGAUGGCCACACUGAUCCCAAAGCAGUCGAGGCACAAAUUGAGAUAAAUUUUUAAAUUUACACAUAACUAGUAAUGUUGAUUUGUAUAUCUUUAUGUGCAAUUGAGACUAAAACCCUAAAUGAUUUAAAUAAAUAAUAAUUUUAAUUCAUUAUUUGGACAUAAUUUUUUACACCAUUAGAGAUGAAAGGAUAAGAUUCUGAGAGAGAUAAAGUAUAAAUUAUUAUUUAAUGCUCUUCACCAUGCAGGUGCAAAGGAUACCACCAAUCUUACAGGUCAGAUUCAUCCAUCAUGUGUCAGAGCCAUUCUUCCUGUUUCACAGUCUUGCAAUACACCUGUUUUUGUAUUAAUUUGUUUUUUUAUUUCCAGAUGCCUCUGCAUGGACUUGAAGCUGUUGUCCAGGUGGAGGUUCUGACCCAGGUUCUGACCCAGGAGACACAGCUGACCUCACCUUGGCAUUGACCUGCAGGUCCUUUCAUUGUGUCUGACCCAGGUUUCAGGAAGAAGACUCACUUUGCUUGGCUGGACGAUCAACUGGGGGAAAUUUUCAGUCAUUCCAGGCAGAAAACCGGAUUCCUCUUGCUGUUGUAACGUGUUCUUCCUGCCACCGGCGAUAUAAAGACUGUGGGCUUCACCGGCAGUGGAAGACCAGGAGAGAUCCCUCCUUCUUACUGUGAUGGGUCUUCUGGACCCUGACCUGAAUGUCAACACUGAAUUCAAGAGAAUAUUAGUUGUUUUCCACAAUCUGUCACACAUUUCAGUCGUCACACAUUGUUGUUCAUUCUUUUUUUUUUGUGACAUGUUAAAUAGUUUCUGAUAAAGAAUAUUUACCUUUUGACUUGUGCAGGGAUCCUUUUUCAUAAUGUGUUCUUUCAAUAUUAUUUACAUUUUUGAAAGUUUCUUUUGUUGUAGCUCAGUUGAUUUACAUAAUUUAGUUUUCAUAGAAAUGGUGUCGUUUCCACAUAAAGUUACUUUGUGGCUGUAAUUUGUUGGAGAGACAGUAGAACCAAUAAAGUAGUUGUAAAUAUAUUUUAACAGCGCUAACAAUUGGAAAACCUUGUUUAAACAUUUUAAAUGCAAGCCAAGUUAAUAACUUGUUAUAUUUAUAUGUAUAAAUACAAAGUUUCCUGAACAUUUUGAACAAUGACUGGAAUCAGUCCAGAUUUUCUUUCCAAACCCGACAGACAGAGAAGUUGUUUAUGUUUUAACAGUGAGAAUCAACUGUUGGUUUUUUGUAAUAAAGCAAGUAUAUACAGAAACAUAUUGUUCAUUUACAAAUCAUAAUACAAACAUAAGAUUAAAGUUAUCCUGAGCUGGACUUUCUGAAGGGUGGAGGAGACGAGACCGGCGCCGUUAGGCUGGGAGGGAGACACCUGACCAGGUGAUUGGCGGACCAGGUGAGAUGAAGACAGUUAGAAAUUACACAUUGGUCUAAUUUAUGUAUCCAGUGACUUUAUCCAAAAAGGUUUUCAUAUAGAAAAGAGAUGAUUCUCUCUGGUGGUUACCAGCUCAGUGUUUA